Molecule: non-coding RNA, 233 nt
Filed under: Candidatus Nitrospira inopinata
Lineage: Bacteria; Pseudomonadati; Nitrospirota; Nitrospiria; Nitrospirales; Nitrospiraceae
Source: RNAcentral
GAAAGGGCAGUGACGAGGAGUAGUAGGCGAGCCGUGUCGUCCGAGAGAGUUGGCGGAUGGUGCGAGCCAAUCGACACGUCGCCGAACUCGCCUCCGAGCCAGAAUCCGUGAACUUCGAGUAGCGGGUUCCGCCUGGCCCCCGUGACGGGCUGCAAUGAAGGGCGCCGAUCAGGGAACCGACCGGUGCCGAAACAGGGUGGUACCACGGAGCGCGUCAAGCCUUCGUCCCUGAU